This 480-nucleotide ribosomal RNA is filed under the name uncultured bacterium. RNAcentral describes it as "bacterial SSU rRNA". It matches the Rfam family "Bacterial small subunit ribosomal RNA", at positions 56 to 514 of the family's 1533-position model. The record is from RNAcentral.
UGCAAGUCGAACGGGAUUUUCUUUGGUAGCAAUACCGAAGAAAGUCUAGUGGCGAACGGGUGCGUAACACGUGGGCAAUCUGCCUUAAAGUGGGGGAUAGCUCGGCGAAAGCCGAAUUAAUACCGCAUGUGAUGAGGGAAGACAUCUUUCCAAAAUCAAAGUCGGGGCAACCUGACGCUUUUUGAGGAGCCCGCGGCCUAUCAGCUUGUUGGUGAGGUAACGGCUCACCAAGGCUUUGACGGGUAGCUGGUCUGAGAGGACGACCAGUCACACUGGAACUGAGACACGGUCCAGACACCUACGGGUGGCAGCAGUCGAGAAUUUUUCUCAAUGGGGGAAACCCUGAAGGAGCGACGCCGCGUGGAGGAUGAAGGUCUUCGGGUUGUAAACUCCUGUCAUUUGAGAACAAGGUGCACACAUUAACUGCGUGUGCAUUGAUAGUAUCAGAAGAGGAAGAGACGGCUAACUCUGUGCCAGCAG